UGGGGAAUAUUGCACAAUGGACGGAAGUUUGAUGCAGCGACGCCGCGUGGAGGGUGUAGGCCUUCGGGUUGUGAACUCCUUUUUCCCGCGAAAAAGGCACAGUUUUGGCUGUGUUGAUGGUAGCGGGGGAAGAAGCGCCGGCUAACUACGUGCCAGCAGCCGCGGUAAUACGUAGGGCGCGAGCGUUGUCCGGAUUUAUUGGGCGUAAAGAGCUCGUAGGUGGUUCGUCGCGUCUGUCGUGAAAGCCAGCAGCUUAACUGUUGGUCUGCGGUGGGUACGGGAGGGCUUGAGUGCGGUAGGGGUGGCUGGGAUUCCUGGUGUAGCGGUGGAAUGCGCAGAUAUCAGGGAGAACACCGAGGGCGAAGGCAGGUCACUGGGCCGUUACUGACACUGAGGAGCGAAAGCGUGGGGAGCGAACAGG
Molecule: ribosomal RNA, 421 nt
Filed under: Fusobacteriota bacterium
Lineage: Bacteria; Fusobacteriati; Fusobacteriota
Description: Fusobacteria bacterium partial 16S ribosomal RNA
Rfam family: Bacterial small subunit ribosomal RNA
Source: RNAcentral